Camelus ferus (Wild Bactrian camel) is the source of this 73-nucleotide transfer RNA. It matches the Rfam family "tRNA". From Rfam's summary of the family: Transfer RNA (tRNA) molecules are approximately 80 nucleotides in length. Their secondary structure includes four short double-helical elements and three loops (D, anti-codon, and T loops). Further hydrogen bonds mediate the characteristic L-shaped molecular structure. tRNAs have two regions of fundamental functional importance: the anti-codon, which is responsible for specific mRNA codon recognition, and the 3' end, to which the tRNAs corresponding amino acid is attached (by aminoacyl-tRNA synthetases). tRNAs cope with the degeneracy of the genetic code in two manners: having more than one tRNA (with a specific anti-codon) for a particular amino acid; and 'wobble' base-pairing, i.e. permitting non-standard base-pairing at the 3rd anti-codon position. The record is from Rfam. Lineage: Eukaryota; Metazoa; Chordata; Mammalia; Artiodactyla; Camelidae.
AGGGAAAUAGCUCAGUGGUAGAGUGCAAUGCUUAGCAUGCACAAGGUCCUGGGUUCAAUCCCCAGUACCUCCA